Molecule: ribosomal RNA, 425 nt
Filed under: uncultured bacterium
Lineage: Bacteria
Description: bacterial SSU rRNA
Rfam family: Bacterial small subunit ribosomal RNA
Source: RNAcentral
GAAUAUUGGACAAUGGGCGCAAGCCUGAUCCAGCCAUGCCGCGUGUGUGAAGAAGGCCUUCGGGUUGUAAAGCACUUUAAGUUGGGAGGAAGGUUUCUUGGCUAAUAUCCAAGAGAAUUGACGUUACCAACAGAAUAAGCACCGGCUAAUUCCGUGCCAGCAGCCGCGGUAAUACGGAAGGUGCGAGCGUUAAUCGGAAUUACUGGGCGUAAAGCGCACGUAGGUGGCUACUUAAGUCGGAUGUGAAAGCCCUGGGCUUAACCUGGGAAUUGCAUCCGAUACUGGGUGGCUAGAGUACGGUAGAGGGAGGUGGAAUUCCAGGUGUAGCGGUGAAAUGCGUAGAGAUCGGAAGGAACACCAGUGGCGAAGGCGACUGUCUGGGCUGAUACUGACGCUGAGGUGCGAAAGCGUGGGGAGCAAACAGG